This 223-nucleotide ribosomal RNA is filed under the name Staphylococcus aureus. Its description in RNAcentral is "partial 16S ribosomal RNA". It matches the Rfam family "Bacterial small subunit ribosomal RNA", at positions 1 to 219 of the family's 1533-position model. The record is from RNAcentral. Lineage: Bacteria; Bacillati; Bacillota; Bacilli; Caryophanales; Staphylococcaceae.
UUUAUGGAGAGUUUGAUCCUGGCUCAGGAUAAACGCUGGCGGCGUGCCUAAUACAUGCAAGUCGAGCGAACGGACGAGAAGCUUGCUUCUCUGAUGUUAGCGGCGGACGGGUGAGUAACACGUGGAUAACCUACCUAUAAGACUGGGAUAACUUCGGGAAACCGGAGCUAAUACCGGAUAAUAUUUUGAACCGCAUGGUUCAAAAGUGAAAGACGGUCUUGCU